Molecule: ribosomal RNA, 497 nt
Filed under: uncultured bacterium
Lineage: Bacteria
Description: partial 16S ribosomal RNA
Rfam family: Bacterial small subunit ribosomal RNA
Source: RNAcentral
GACGAACGCUGGCGGCGUGCCUAAUACAUGCAAGUAGAACGCUGAAGAGAGGAGCUUGCUCUUCUUGGAUGAGUUGCGAACGGGUGAGUAACGCGUAGGUAACCUGCCUUGUAGCGGGGGAUAACUAUUGGAAACGAUAGCUAAUACCGCAUAACAAUGGAUGACACAUGUCAUUUAUUUGAAAGGGGCAAUUGCUCCACUACAAGAUGGACCUGCGUUGUAUUAGCUAGUAGGUGAGGUAAUGGCUCACCUAGGCGACGAUACGUAGCCGACCUGAGAGGGUGAUCGGCCACACUGGGACUGAGACACGGCCCAGACUCCUACGGGAGGCAGCAGUAGGGAAUCUUCGGCAAUGGGGGCAACCCUGACCGAGCAACGCCGCGUGAGUGAAGAAGGUUUUCGGAUCGUAAAGCUCUGUUGUAAGUCAAGAACGGGUGUGAGAGUGGAAAGUUCACACUGUGACGGUAGCUUACCAGAAAGGGACGGCUAACUACGUG